UUGUCUCUGAGUCGGCUCGACCCGAUAGUAUCAUGAUACAAUAACUUAGAAGAUAUGACACUGCGCAGGGAUGCCGCCAUUUUGGUUUCGUUGCUGACGUAAUGUGGUUAGUAAACAGCCAGGCCCCUGAAAGUGUAUACAAAUUAUGUGUUCACUGGGAGGGGUGGGGCAAAGGGGGGAAACGGCUAAAAUAGUUCGUGUGCUCCAGCUUAGAGGUCGCGUCAGUUGCAAAGAAAUCUGUAAAUUUAAAGGAAUCUGUCACACAUUUUGCUAAAAGUAAAGAAGGUUCACUUAAAAAUAACCGACGUGCGCACACUUCUCUUUUUAAUUCUUUGAUUUAUCAACAGCCGAUUAUUUUGCUGUCGUUGCGGUGUUUGGCGACAUUUUGUUUUAAUGUGUUUUAAAGACUUCAGAAAACGAUUUAACGUGAUUUUUUGGAUGUUUUUGUGAUCAAACAUCUCUACUUUUAUAUGGAUCUUUUAUUUGAAUCUAGUGUAUAGUGUGAAUGACAGUGUUUUAAUGAAGGAUGAAUCAACUUAAAGCAAAUUAAGAUAUUAAUAUAAUCAUAUUACACCAAGAAGGAUCACACAAACUUCUCUAAUAGGGGAAUUUCUUGAUGUUUAGGAGAUGAAGACCGUCCUUGGAGAUGAUAACGGUUCUUGGGAUGUAAUUGAAAAUCCCAUGAAGACGAGUUAAAUAUAAUGUGCAGUAAUUAAUAGGUAUAUCAUAAUAAUAAAUAAAUUUAUUGUAGUUGCGAA
This is a long non-coding RNA of Tribolium castaneum (red flour beetle), 758 nucleotides long. RefSeq lists it as uncharacterized. The record is from RefSeq and is a predicted model, not a curated record. The transcript has 2 exons. Lineage: Eukaryota; Metazoa; Arthropoda; Insecta; Coleoptera; Tenebrionidae.